RNAcentral lists this ribosomal RNA (350 nucleotides) under uncultured bacterium. Its description in RNAcentral is "bacterial SSU rRNA". It matches the Rfam family "Bacterial small subunit ribosomal RNA", at positions 29 to 408 of the family's 1533-position model. The record is from RNAcentral.
AGCGAACGCUGGCGGCAGGCCUAACACAUGCAAGUCGAACGGAACCUUCGGGUUCAGUGGCGGACGGGUGGGUAACACGUGGGAACGUGCCCUAUGGUUCGGAAUAACUCAGGGAAACUUGAGCUAAUACCGGAUAAGCCCUACGGGGAAGAUUAUCGCCAUUGGAGCGGCCCGCGUCUGAUUAGCUAGUUGGUGAGGUAAAGGCUCACCAAGGCUACGAUCAGUAGCUGGUCUGAGAGGAUGAUCAGCCACAUUGGGACUGAGACACGGCCCAAACUCCUACGGGAGGCAGCAGUGGGAAGUCUUGCGCAAUGGGCGGAAAGCCUGACGCAGCCAUGCCGCGUGAAUGA